UUCAACACACUUCAUCUUCACUCCGCCCCGUAGCCUAUUCUUACCUCUCAUAUUAUUUGUCUAGAUUAUAUACAAAUACUUUUAGAAUAAAAAGAUUUUAACUUGCUUACCAAACACAAAAAAAAUAUGUAAAAAAAAACUACUUUUUCUAGAAAACAUGCUCCUUUAUACUGAACACCUACUGCUACUGCUUUUCCGG
RNAcentral lists this long non-coding RNA (199 nucleotides) under Solanum tuberosum (potato). RNAcentral describes it as "long non-coding RNA (STUB_LNC005523)". Lineage: Eukaryota; Viridiplantae; Streptophyta; Magnoliopsida; Solanales; Solanaceae. The record is from RNAcentral.